Molecule: long non-coding RNA, 1811 nt
Filed under: Canis lupus familiaris (dog)
Lineage: Eukaryota; Metazoa; Chordata; Mammalia; Carnivora; Canidae
Description: lncRNA (ENSCAFG00000051031.1, ENSCAFG00845010009.1)
Source: RNAcentral
UUUAUUUAUUUGAGAGAGAGAGCACGAGCAGUGGGGAGGGACAAAGGUAGAGGAGAAACAAGCAGACUCCACGCUGAGCAGGGAGUCCAACAUUGGCCUCGAUCCCAGGACCCUGAGAUCAUGUCCUGAGCUGAAGACAGACUAAGCCACUCAGGCACCCCUCAACUAUAUUUUCUUUGUAGAUUUUUCUCUUCCUCUUUCACUUCUGCUGAACUUGCCUUAUGUUGCAAUAAAGUUCAACAACAUAUACUUGAAAAAUAAACUUGCUUUCAAUAAAGAUGACUGGCAAGCUAAAACUUGCACCAAACUACACCAUCAAUAUACUUUCAGAAGUGGAAUGAAUCUUCAUGGGGUUGAAAUAUAAUAUCCCUGGAUAUUUCCUUCUUCAGAAGGUGUUGUGACAUUUUAUUUAAAUUUUUGAAAAUGUUAUGCAGCACUUUUGGAGAGAGGUGUUUGCAAAAGGAGAAAAAUAAACCUAAUCAAAGAACAAUAUGAUUCUAAAUAAACAGAACACCACCACAAUAUCUUCCUUAAAAAUACAAUAUAAAACAUACAAACACACUUGACUUGUGUAUUUCAAAUUACAGAAAAAAGCUGAAAACCUAGGAACCCGUUGUUCUACUUUUUAAUCUUAACCUAGCAGCCUGAUCCCCAUUAACACCUCAGAAAAUGUUAACUGAAAAUUGUACCAAGACUUUAAAAUUACUGCAAAUUCAGAAGAAAAUCAAACAUUCGACCAAACAUAAAAAUCAAAUCUUUCUUUUAAAAAAAUAUUUUAUUUAUUUAUUCAUAAAAAAAACACAGAGAGAGAGGCAGAACACAGGCAGAGGGAAAAGCUGGCUUCCUGUGGAGUAACUGAUGCAGAACUCGAUCCCAGGACCCCGGAAUCAUGACCUGAGCCAAAGGCAGAUGCUCAACAACUGAGCCACCUAGCUCCAAAAAUCAAAUCUUUCAUUUAAGUUUACAAAUUUCUAUUUAUAGGCAACAUAACAUUUAGGGUAUCAUUAGUCAGCGAAGGACAGAGUGUUCCAGGAUAUAAAUUGUCAUGAAAUUUUAAUUCUGUAAACUCAAAAUGUGUUGAAUUUCUUUCCCUGUAGGUUGUCUGUAUUCAAAGCAUGUGAUGAGCACUGGGUGUUGGAGCUAAGUGCUGAAUCACAAAAUCGUAGACCUGAAAUUAAUAUUAUACUGUAUGUUAACUAACUAGAAUUUAAAUAAAAACUUUUUAAAAAGCAUCCCUGGCUUUCAUCUCCAACAUAAACCCAACUGCCACGUGUGACAAAGAACACUUUGAUUAGUUUCAGGCUUUUCUUCACUUUUAUUCCUCUUUGAGCAAAAAGUCCAAUCUUCAAGAGCACGUGGGGCCUGAAGAAAUGUAGACGUCCAGAGACUGGCUAUUCCCAGAAAUGCCCACCCCUCUGCUGAAGAGUGCCUUGGGAAAUUAGUUGAGACCUUUCUGAAGCUGGGCUAUUCUAGCUUCCCUGGCUGGUCUCUGGGUGGCAAAAUUCGUUCCUGCAGUCCUCGUGAAGACAAGUUGAAGUCCCUCUGUGAGGGAGCCUUUCACAGCCCAACAUUGAACAAUGUUUCACUGAAUCCACAAGUACACAUGUUGGUUUCAGUAACCUUGACAAAUAGUUCUUUGGGGGAAAAUGCUAUGGAAGGCAUAUUUGCCAAUUAUGUCACAAUCAGAGUUCGGUUUCAUCUUACUUGGUUAGUCAUUGAUUAGCAGUAUUUCAAAUGUUGAUGUACUUCGAGGCACAUUCCUUCAGACCCACUAAAUAUGGUACCACAGCUUUCAUUGUUAAGUGAACCGC